Non-coding RNA from Cercophora samala, 94 nucleotides. The record is from the annotation of a GenBank genome assembly. Lineage: Eukaryota; Fungi; Ascomycota; Sordariomycetes; Sordariales; Lasiosphaeriaceae.
GGCCGUGUGGUGUAGUGGUAGCAUACUUGCUUUGGGAAAAUUUCCUCUCAAAAGCUGUUGCAAGUGGUCCCAGGUUCGAGCCCUGGCUCGGCCC